This 86-nucleotide small RNA is filed under the name Sinorhizobium meliloti 2011. Its description in RNAcentral is "putative ncRNA". The record is from RNAcentral. Lineage: Bacteria; Pseudomonadati; Pseudomonadota; Alphaproteobacteria; Hyphomicrobiales; Rhizobiaceae.
AGGGUGCCGACGGUCUCUGGAGAAAGAUCCGCGAGCGCGCACCCGAAGUCGAUCAGCCGAUCCACGGCGAGAACGCCGGCACCGCC